GCCUAGUUAGCUUAGUUGGUAGUGCGUCUGCCUUGUAAGCGCUAGGCCGCGGGUUCGAUUCCCGCCUGGAGCG
This 73-nucleotide transfer RNA is filed under the name Diaphorina citri (Asian citrus psyllid). It matches the Rfam family "tRNA". Rfam says of the family: Transfer RNA (tRNA) molecules are approximately 80 nucleotides in length. Their secondary structure includes four short double-helical elements and three loops (D, anti-codon, and T loops). Lineage: Eukaryota; Metazoa; Arthropoda; Insecta; Hemiptera; Psyllidae. The record is from Rfam by way of RNAcentral.